RNAcentral lists this unclassified non-coding RNA (373 nucleotides) under soil metagenome. RNAcentral describes it as "partial contains 5.8S ribosomal RNA, internal transcribed spacer 2, and large subunit ribosomal RNA". The stretch from base 1 to 120 matches the Rfam family "5.8S ribosomal RNA", at positions 35 to 154 of the family's 154-position model. The record is from RNAcentral.
GAUGAAGAACGCAGCGAAAUGCGAUAAGUAAUGUGAAUUGCAGAAUUCAGUGAAUCAUCGAAUCUUUGAACGCACAUUGCGCCCGCCAGUAUUCUGGCGGGCAUGCCUGUUCGAGCGUCAUUUCAACCCUCAAGACCCCUUCGGGGGACUUGGUGUUGGGGACCGGCACAGGGGCCUGCCUGCUUGUCUUGCAGCGCCCUCGCCGCCCCCGAAAUGAAUUGGCGGCCUCGUCGCGGCCUCCCCUGCGUAGUAGCACAACCUCGCAACGGGAACGUGACGGCGGCCACUGCCGUAAAACAACCCCAAUUUUAUUAGAGUUGACCUCGAAUCAGGUAGGAAUACCCGCUGAACUUAAGCAUAUCAAUACGGAGGA